Molecule: ribosomal RNA, 542 nt
Filed under: uncultured bacterium
Lineage: Bacteria
Description: partial 16S ribosomal RNA
Rfam family: Bacterial small subunit ribosomal RNA
Source: RNAcentral
UGGGGAAUAUUGCCCAAUGGGCGAAAGCCUGAUGCAGCAACGCCGCGUGAGGGACGACGGCCUUCGGGUUGUAAACCUCUUUUAGCAGGGAAGAAGCGAAAGUGACGGUACCUGCAGAAAAAGCACCGGCUAACUACGUGCCAGCAGCCGCGGUAAUACGUAGGGUGCAAGCGUUGUCCGGAAUUAUUGGGCGUAAAGAGCUCGUAGGCGGUUUGUCACGUCUGCUGUGAAAACCCGAGGCUCAACCUCGGGCUUGCAGUGGGUACGGGCAGACUAGAGUGCGGUAGGGGAGAUUGGAAUUCCUGGUGUAGCGGUGGAAUGCGCAGAUAUCAGGAGGAACACCGAUGGCGAAGGCAGAUCUCUGGGCCGUAACUGACGCUGAGGAGCGAAAGCAUGGGGAGCAAACAGGCUUAGAUACCCUGGUAGUCCAUGCCGUAAACGUUGGGAACUAGAUGUGGGGACCAUUCCACGGUCUCCGUGUCGUAGCUAACGCAUUAAGUUCCCCGCCUGGGGAGUACGGCCGCAAGGCUAAAACUCAAAGG